Molecule: ribosomal RNA, 270 nt
Filed under: uncultured archaeon
Lineage: Archaea
Description: partial 16S ribosomal RNA
Rfam family: Archaeal small subunit ribosomal RNA
Source: RNAcentral
CAGCACCUCAAGUGGUCAGGAUGAUUAUUGGACCUAAAGCAUCCGUAGCCGGCGCUGUAAGUUUUCGGUUAAAUCUGUACGCUCAACGUACAGGCUGCCGGGAAUACUGCAGCGCUAGGGAGUGGGAGAGGUAGACGGUACUCGGUAGGAAGGGGUAAAAUCCUUUGAUCUAUUGAUGACCACCUGUGGCGAAGGCGGUCUACCAGAACACGUCCGACGGUGAGGGAUGAAAGCUGGGGGAGCAAACCGGAUUAGAUACCCGAGUAGUCC